GGACGAAAACAACAACACCUAAAAUGUGGAAUAUAGCAUAUAGUCGACAAGAGAAAUCUACGAAAAACAAACAAAACUUUCAACAACGGAUCUCUUGGUUCUCGCAUCGAUGAAGAGCGCAGCGAAAUGCGAUACCUAGUGUGAAUUGCAGCCAUCGUGAAUCAUCGAGUUCUUGAACGCACAUUGCGCCCCUCGGCAUUCCGGGGGGCAUGCCUGUUUGAGCGUCGUUUCCAUCUUGCGCGUGCGCAGAGUUGGGGGAGCGGAGCGGACGACGUGUAAAGAGCGUCGGAGCUGCGACUCGCCUGAAAGGGAGCGAAGCUGGCCGAGCGAACUAGACUUUUUUUCAGGGACGCUUGGCGGCCGAGAGCGAGUGUUGCGAGACAACAAAAAGCUCGACCUCAAAUCAGGUAGGAAUACCCGCUGAACUUAAGCAUAUCAAUAAGCGGAG
RNAcentral lists this ribosomal RNA (448 nucleotides) under Pichia kudriavzevii. RNAcentral's name for it is "eukaryotic LSU rRNA". The stretch from base 75 to 227 matches the Rfam family "5.8S ribosomal RNA". The record is from RNAcentral. Lineage: Eukaryota; Fungi; Ascomycota; Pichiomycetes; Pichiales; Pichiaceae.